AUGUCAGGAAUAAAGAAGAUCCAUAACCAGCUAGCAUAUAAUAUUGAAGCUUACAUAAAUGGCACAAAAUAUAUAAUAGAUGAAAUUACAAUAAGAGAUUUGUCAGUAAUAAACGAUGACAUGAUAAUAGGGUUAAGAUUUUUACAACAAUCUUUACAAACCACAAUCAUACAUGAAGAGGGGGUAACAUUUAUUCCUUAUCAAGAUAAUGUUCCAUACAUAUCUGAAGUGCGAAAACAAAGAAAGUCCUUACAAAAUGUAGAAAUAUCUAAUUUAGAUGAUGAAUAUAGCACAAGUCCAGAUCCCCUUGAAUUCUGUAAAGACGAAGAACUUAGUGAGACCAUAGAAGAAUAUCAUAUAGAAAAUACAUGUACUGAAUGCAUUGGGUUGCAAUCAUUCUCUCCAAAUUGGUAUAGAGAUAUAAAAUCUAAAAAGGAUAUAGAUAAGAUUGUGCAAAGACUAGAAAGUAUACAAAUUAUUGGAGAAAUACCAAUGAAACAUUGGGAUAAGAACUCUAUAGUUUGA
Molecule: ribosomal RNA, 525 nt
Filed under: Triticum aestivum (bread wheat)
Lineage: Eukaryota; Viridiplantae; Streptophyta; Magnoliopsida; Poales; Poaceae
Description: partial small subunit ribosomal RNA
Source: RNAcentral